UAUUAUGCCUUGAAGAAGAGGAGUAAACAGGCCUAUUUUACAGAGAGAAAAUCAUUGGUGGAAGGUUUUUAAAGAUGGUGUGUUGAAGGUAGCUUCUGAGCAUAUUGCAUGAAGUCUAGUUAUCUAAUAGAUAAUUAUAUGUUAGUGUAGUACGGUUGACCCCGUUAUAGGUUUUGAGUGCCGGCUAUUAGCCGGAAUUAAGGUGGUAACGCGAGCUUUCGUCCUUUUG
Molecule: non-coding RNA, 229 nt
Filed under: Peptostreptococcus stomatis
Lineage: Bacteria; Bacillati; Bacillota; Clostridia; Peptostreptococcales; Peptostreptococcaceae
Description: T-box sequence
Rfam family: T-box leader
About the family: Uncharged tRNA acts as the effector for transcription antitermination of genes in the T-box leader family. T-boxes are found upstream of many aminoacyl-tRNA synthetase genes and some amino acid biosynthetic genes usually in Gram-positive bacteria.
Source: RNAcentral